CAUUCUCCCUCCAUCCAAGUUUGAUCGUCCAUAUUAUUUAAAUUUUUUAUUGUUAUUAGAUUAUAAAAUAUAAAUGGUACUUUAUAUAUGACUUAUGUUUUUUAAUUAUUUUUUAAAAAAAUAAAUAAGACUAACAAUUAAAGUUAGAUAUGAAAACUUAUGGUUGUGUUUAUU
This 174-nucleotide microRNA precursor is filed under the name Oryza rufipogon (brownbeard rice). Its description in RNAcentral is "MIR812 microRNA precursor family". It matches the Rfam family "MIR812 microRNA precursor family". The record is from Rfam by way of RNAcentral. Lineage: Eukaryota; Viridiplantae; Streptophyta; Magnoliopsida; Poales; Poaceae.